UACGUAGGGCGCAAGCGUUAUCCGGAAUUAUUGGGCGUAAAGAGCUCGUAGGCGGUUUGUCGCGUCUGCCGUGAAAGUCCGGGGCUCAACUCCGGAUCUGCGGUGGGUACGGGCAGACUAGAGUGAUGUAGGGGAGACUGGAAUUCCUGGUGUAGCGGUGAAAUGCGCAGAUAUCAGGAGGGACACCGAUGGCGAAGGCAGGUCUCUGGGCAUUAACUGACGCUGAGGAGCGAAAGCAUGGGGAGCGAACAGG
Molecule: ribosomal RNA, 253 nt
Filed under: uncultured bacterium
Lineage: Bacteria
Description: partial 16S ribosomal RNA
Rfam family: Bacterial small subunit ribosomal RNA
Source: RNAcentral